Long non-coding RNA from Lepidothrix coronata (blue-crowned manakin), 286 nucleotides. RefSeq lists it as uncharacterized. NCBI's taxonomy places the organism in Eukaryota, Metazoa, Chordata, Aves, Passeriformes, Pipridae. The transcript is spliced from 3 exons. The record is from RefSeq and is a predicted model, not a curated record.
CAGGGCAGCAAGAGGGACUGGUGGAUGAAGGGAUGUUGGGAGAGGCACAUGGUUUGGAGCACAGGGCCCUAGGCACAGUGAGAUAAAUCCUUCUUCAUCUCUAGAAGCUAUGUACUACUCACAUCCCACAUAAGCUCCACCUUGAAAGGGUCCAUAUCUGACUGGAAUUCACCUCAGAGAAAACAGAAGAAUUAGGGCUUCAUAUGCAUAAGGAAAGUUAGAAUGGACAACUACAUCUACAGAGAAAAGAUGGUCAACUAUUCUGUCUUUACACACUGGACUUUUG